UGAGCAAUCUGCCCUUCUCAUCGGAAUAAGCGUUGGAAACGACGUCUAAUGCCGAAUACGACCUCCUUUCGCAUGAUCGGAGGUGGAAAGCUCCGGCGGAGAAGGAUGAGCUCGCGGCCUAUCAGCUAGUUGGUGUGGGUAAUGGCCCACCAAGGCGACGACGGGUAGCCGGCCUGAGAGGGUGACCGGCACACUGGGACUGAGACACGGCCCAGACUCCGUACGGGAGCAG
Molecule: ribosomal RNA, 232 nt
Filed under: uncultured bacterium
Lineage: Bacteria
Description: partial 16S ribosomal RNA
Rfam family: Bacterial small subunit ribosomal RNA
Source: RNAcentral